AACAUGACUUUGAUCUGCGUCCUCCUCUGGACUCUCCUCUGCUGCUGCUUCACAGAGUCCAGAGGACAAUACACAGUGACUCAGCCUGGAGCAGUGAGCUCUGCUGUGGGAGGAUCUGUGAGCAUCAACUGUAGGACCAGUCAGAAUGUUUAUAGUAAUUGGUUAUCCUGGUACCAACAGAAAGAUGGAGGAGUUCCUAAACUGCUCAUUUACUAUGCUAGCAGCCGAGUAUCAGGGAUUCCAGCUCGUUUUACAGGCAGUGGCUCAAACUCUGACUUCACUCUGACCAUCAGUGGAGUCCAGGCUGAAGAUGCAGCAGUUUAUUACUGUCAGAGUGGUCACUACCCUAACAAUCAGUAUGUGUUCACACAGUGAAAAACAGUCGUACAAAAACCUCCCUCAGUCAGACUGAACAGAAAU
Molecule: non-coding RNA, 420 nt
Organism: Oreochromis niloticus (Nile tilapia)
Lineage: Eukaryota; Metazoa; Chordata; Actinopteri; Cichliformes; Cichlidae
Source: the annotation of a RefSeq genome assembly